RNAcentral lists this ribosomal RNA (344 nucleotides) under uncultured fungus. Its description in RNAcentral is "eukaryotic LSU rRNA". The stretch from base 1 to 87 matches the Rfam family "5.8S ribosomal RNA", at positions 66 to 154 of the family's 154-position model. Lineage: Eukaryota; Fungi. The record is from RNAcentral.
UGCGAUUUGCACGAAUCUGUGAGUCAUCUAGUUUUUGAACGCAAAUGGCACUCUUAUGCAAGUAAGAGUAUGUCUGUUUGAGAAUCCCUAAACCGAUCAACACCCGUGGGUGUAUGGCAUUGCUAUUCUACUUUUACACCUACUUUGGGGAUAGGUAGUCUAGUUGAAUUCAUUACGGUUGUUGGACCAGCUCCAAAUGUGCUACAAGACAGUCGUCUUUUGUCAUUUGGCGCAGAGCGCCCAGCUAAAGCAGCCUCUUAUACUCCAAUAGGAUCUCAAAUUAGGCAAGAUUACCCGCUGAACUUAAGCAUAUCAAUAAGCGGAGGAAAUCGAAUUCCCGCGGC